Molecule: long non-coding RNA, 1239 nt
Filed under: Oncorhynchus kisutch (coho salmon)
Lineage: Eukaryota; Metazoa; Chordata; Actinopteri; Salmoniformes; Salmonidae
Description: lncRNA (ENSOKIG00005032703.1)
Source: RNAcentral
GCCAUUGAGCUAGACACAGACUGGAAGCUGGUGAUGCUAUUCGUUCAGGUGGAUGAGCUCUGUGUAUGUCAGGACCAGGUCAGCAGCCACCUCACGUCUGGAUUUCAGUCCACGUCUUCAUUUCAUGACUUUACAGUGUUCGUGGCUGCGUUCCUUUGAGUGAGUGUUUGUGUGUAUGCAGGUCAGCGAGACAAUCAAAGCAGCUGUCCAUCAGGUGGAUCUUGCGCUGCAGGUGCUGCAGUCGCAGGUGGGUUUUGGUGACUCGUGUGACAUUCUCAGCAAUGCUACAGUACAUUAAUUUAGAUGAUCGUUAAGAUUGCUCUUAAUGUGUUUGCAGUUGAAGCGGACCAUUGUCAAUGUUGCACUGUGGUAUGGAGAGUAUGAUACUGGAUUUCGUUAUCAGAACAGGUGACUUUCUCAACCAAUUGCACAACUCCUCAAUCAGUCGGUGCACUCAUUCCCCGAGUUUGAAAUUCUUCAGUGAUUUCAAGCUAUAGUUUCUGGUAGGCAUUUGACUGCUUCUAUGUCUAUUGACAGGAUGUGUCAAUGUAUGGAGGAAAAACAUGAAGGGGAGCUCAGACUACUGAAGGCCAUCCUCACUCAAGUCCUCCAGGAGUCCCUUGAUCGACACCUGGUAGAGAAGCAGUGGUACAGCAACAGAGAUGACUUCACCGUCCUACUGCAGGAUGCCCCCUUCAUCACAUCAGAACCUGCCUCUUUUAUUGUGAGUGACAAGCCAUUAAAUCCUCCCUACAAUUUUUAUACAUUAAUGUGCCUAUCCUAUUGUGUGAUGCAGAGUUGAGUUGUUAUGGUGUGGGCGUACGCUUUCAUACUGGUACGUGCGUACGCUAGCAUUUCUGAUGCAUACGUGUGUCAGUGUGUGUAACACAAAUGUUAAUCUAUGUACAGAGCGCUGCCCCCAGAGCGGGUGAACAACACACCGACAAACUGGCAGUACAGAUGUGGACCAACUUGGUGCGUCACACAAAAUACUACACAUGCUGCUAACACACUGUGGCAUUGUCUCGGCUCUUAGUUCUAGUCAAGGCAAACAAAAGAGACUUGUUUUCUGUUUUUCAGCUGCAGCCCACCAUAGGCCAGCAGAACAUGGAGGAAAAUAGCAUGAUUAUCUCUGUGCUAUGCCCCAGUGAGGUGAGAGAGUGUGGCCUCCAACACACACCACACCUGGGUUCAAGUAGUUUUCUUUCAAAUACUUUCAUUGAGACUGCCUGGAGUGCC